UAGGGAAUCUUCCACAAUGGACGCAAGUCUGAUGGAGCAACGCCGCGUGAGUGAAGAAGGUCUUCGGAUCGUAAAACUCCGUUGUUAGAGAAGAACACGAGUGAGAGUAACUGUUCAUUCGAUGACGGUAUCUAACCAGCAAGUCACGGCUAACUACGUGCCAG
Molecule: ribosomal RNA, 164 nt
Filed under: uncultured bacterium
Lineage: Bacteria
Description: partial 16S rRNA
Rfam family: Bacterial small subunit ribosomal RNA
Source: RNAcentral